UAACUACUCCCUCCGUCCGGAAAAAACUUGUCCCAAGCUUGUUCCUCAAAUGGAUGUAUCUAGCCCUAAUUUGGUGCUUGAUACAUCCAUUUGAGGGACAAGUUUAUCCUGGCGGAGGGAGUAUAAC
This is a non-coding RNA of Triticum aestivum (bread wheat), 127 nucleotides long. Lineage: Eukaryota; Viridiplantae; Streptophyta; Magnoliopsida; Poales; Poaceae. The record is from Rfam.